This 4580-nucleotide long non-coding RNA is filed under the name Mizuhopecten yessoensis (Yesso scallop). Its description in RNAcentral is "uncharacterized LOC110459886". The record is from RNAcentral. Lineage: Eukaryota; Metazoa; Mollusca; Bivalvia; Pectinida; Pectinidae.
GAUUUAUCAACAGAACAACAAAACUCCGCUUGAGCACAGAAUCUGAUCUUAAGCAUAAGAAGGGUUUCAUGAAUACGGCCCCUAUUCUUUUACCUCCAAUUUAUUAUAUUCAAAUUCUUAAAAUUCAAUGACGUCACAAAAUAACAUUGUGACGUAGCUAACAUUUCAUCAUUCUUUCGUGUAUCAUUACCAAUCGUGCUGACAUGGUGCAGUUUUGCAUGUUUGCAUAACGUAAAUAGGGAAACAAUUAAAAACAAUCGAGCACACUAAAAAGCAAAUGGUUAAACAAAGUUGUACAAUUAGUUAUCAUACUUUGAUUAUGUAUUAAAAGAUCAAUAACUACAAAGCUUCUCUAGAAUAUAUAAAACAUCUGUUUACAUUGAAAAUGUAAAAUAUCAGAACGUCACGUGUUUUCUCUAUCAAGGGAUACCUCAUGAACCGUUUCAGUUGACCAUGUUUUACAAAUUUUGGAGUUGCCUAAUUGCUCAAGAAAACAUUCUAAUAUUUUCAAAAUUACAAAAUAUUAUAUUCGAUGCCAUUAUUCUAGCACAUUUUCAUUCAUCUCCUAAAGCAUUUUUCUAUAAAUUCUUAUUUGGUAACGGGCAAUCUAAAAAAAAUAAUAAAUCACAACGUAAACAAUUGCAUUACAUAUUAAAACUGUAUCAGGCACUUGUUAAUAUAUUUGCUGCAAAAAUCAAGCAAUUACAACAUAUGACGUAUGUAAAACAUUAUAAUAUAACAUAGUAAUACUUGAUCUGUUUAUACGUUACAUUUAUCAGGGAACCUCGUUACUCCGGAUGCCAGUUUAGAAUUAAUUUUGUAGAUACCUUCAUUACGAUUUCAUUAAUGUCAAGAGAUAUUUCAGUUUUAUUCACCUAGACAUUUCUUUUUAUUCAGACAAACUGGUUGAAUCAGAAAUCAUAUUCAACUAGUUACUGUACAAGGCCAAUAAAAACCAACUUUAUUUCAAAAAGAAUAGUAAUUCAAAUGCUUGUGUAUUUUAAAUUUGUCCCCCCCCCCCCGAGAUUUUUCACACCUGACGUCAAAAUCACGAAAACGUUGUCCCCAGACUCUUCCAUGGGUUACUGCAUAACUAUACACAUAAUUUUUUACAAAUGUACAAAAUAAAAUUUGAUAUAUUUUCAUGCAUAAUUGAUUAUUUACAAAAUGAACAAAAUUUAGUUUAUAUUUUAAUAUACAUAAUUACAAAAGUACUGAAGAGAUGUGUAAUAUUAACAAAAGAAAACAUUGAGAGUAUUGCUACCAUUAUAUAGUACAAUAUAUAUGGCACUGCAAGUUCCACACACCGACCACCGACAAAGAGCAAUCCAGUCUUAUUGAAUUUUAUUAAUAUGUCGUCAUGCUGUUAUUUAUAUAUAUAUUGAAUACUAUUGAUCAUGCUUGUAACAACGUAUUUGUGGUGUAUGUACUAACUGCCGAAAUAGUACCGUAUGUUGAAAGAAAUCAAUUGCGUCUCAUUUACUGACUAUAAAGGACUUUCCCUUCAGUCGCGUAAUAUUCGACUUAAUUCAGCAUCACUCUGACAUAGCCUUUCCUUGUAAAUCUGUAUCCGGCUUGUUUAUUAUAAACCUGACCGACUUUUAUACAAAAUCUGCUAUACUGUACCCAACAAAUAUGAUAUCAGAGGAAUUUUCAUACUGAUGACAAACCAUGGUCUGUUUUAAUGUGAUUAAAUUAGAAAUAUGGAUGUAAUCAACCGGAAGGGUCAUCUCUGAUGUAUAAGGCAAGAAAGCAAAGAUAUUUACAAAGCAUGACAGUACAGUUGUUAAAAUCAAUACAGCUUACAAAUUAAAUAUAUAUAGUGCCUUUAGAAAGAAAUGGUAUGACGUCACUAAUUCACAAUAUCAUACCAUUAUUUACCGAGUACAUGGUACCAAAUAUUUAGAAUGCUACUUCUUUUAUUCAAGACAAUAUGUCAUAAUACAUAAAUUAAACCUGGUUGAAUUAUAUUUUACUCUAUUACGAACUUUCUCCUGGACAUAAUUCAUUAAUGACUCAAUUCAGAUAUCGUUUCCCCCCUCUACUUGUUUAGAUUUGUUUGACUUUAUCCUGCACUUUUGAAAUUUCACUAUUUUUGCCUCCAGCAUGGCUCACAACAUUUUGCGUUUUCUAUGCAUUAAAUUAGAUAAUUUCGAUAGAAAAUAUCUAUAAACAACAGAAUCAUAUAAAAUGUACGUGCACAUUUAAGAAGAAAAUAUACAACACAUGAUAUGACAAAAAUAAAUAAUAUAAUCUAUACACAAAAAUGUUAACAUUUCGUUUUCAAACGCUCAAGAUUAAUACAAUAAUUCACAAGAAAUAAGACAGGUGAAUAUUUUGAAGAACUGAAAUUAUUCUGUUUUUUUUCCCAGAUCUAAUCGUAUCGUUCACCGUUCUUUUAAGUCGAAUGUAUGACGGGAAAUUUCAACUGAUGUUUGGUAGGGUCAAGAAAGGUAGUCAAAAUGCAACAGAAAGCACAGGAAAAUCCUCCUGAAUGCUGCUUCACUUUGUUUCUAAACAUUUUCUUCAGGUUGGUGAUCACUGAUAGAGGCAGAACGCUGGGUAACUGAUUGAAUUGGCGAUGAGAUGCGAAACUAGCGGCGGUACCCGAUGGGCCGAAAUAAAGUGGAAGAUACAGUAUGCAAAUACUGAUUUUUCUCUGUAACCUUAAGUUCAAUUACAGACAUAAAAUGAAUCGUUUAGUGGAAGUAUUGCAUUGGCGGUUACUAUCUCGUUAUAAAGAUAAGCCCACAAAUUAUACAGCAUAAUAGCUUCGUUUUUAGUUUCAAAACAUACAAAAACACUGUAGAACUUUCUUUUAAAUCAAUGUCAUAAUAAUAAACAUAUUUGACCUUUUGAUGCUUUAGCUGUUUCAGUGCGAUUCUUGACUUAUUUUGUUAAUCAUAGCAUUUUUAAAUUCCAUCUUUCUUGUUUAUAGUUAAGUCUUAGCAGCUACAUCAAUUUGAUAACAUCAGAUAACCAUAUUUGCGGUUUUGUCACCACCUAGACCUAAUAUUUUAUGUACAUGUUCCAUAUUGGAUAAUGCUUUGGAAAUAUUUUCAAUAUUGUCGUUUAUACAAAAUAACCGGUAAAUUUCAAUUCAAUCACCUGUUGGGUUAUUUUUUUUUCAUUAUAGGUCCAACAAGCUUGCCCUGUCUGAAAUCAUAAAUAAUAAUACAUAACAACUUCAAAAGGCAGCGCCCUUCUUCGUUAGACGAUCAAACAGUAUCUCCUUUUUUCAUUUUCGUUCUAUAAACCAGACAAUCUUUCUGAGGACAACUGGAUCACAUCAAUGUCUACACCGGUCAUUAGUUGUUGAUCUGAUCAAGGACAACUGAAUCACAUCAUUGUCUCCGCAGGUCACUAGUUGUUCAUCUGAUUGAGGACAACUGAAUCACAUAAUUGUCUCCACAGGUCACUAGUUGUUCAUUUGAUUGAGGACAACUGAAUCACAUCAUUGUCUACACCGGUCAUUAGUUGUUCAUUUGAUCUCGGACAACUGAAUCACAUCAUUGUCUACAUCGGUCAUUAGUUGUUUAUCUGAUCCAACUUCGUCUGAUUUUUCCAAUGUUAGGAGUGUAAAAAGAUACAACUGACGUUCACAAUUAUUAUUUUAUCUUAAUCGACGAGUCGUACAAACAUAUAUAAUACAAAUCGUCCUUCUACGGCUUGAUUGGAAAAAAUGACGUUUCACAAAGUUUUUUAAGUAGGUGUUCAGAGGGAUGAGAUAUAUUUCAUAUACGGUAUAAGUGUCUGAUGUUUUUUUGUCUGUGAAAUCUUUGUAAGAAAACUUGGUUAUAUUCGUCAAGAUUGGUUCAAUAUUUCUUUCAUUGUAUUUCAAAUUUGGCAAACAAUUCAUCUGAACGAGUUGAUUGGCGUUAUUGUUGCCAUCCAGAUUCGAUAAAAGGUUAUACACUGCUUCACUAAUGAAGAUCAAACAAAGGAAACUGUUGUGCAUUUUGACAUAUUUAUUUAUCAUAUCAAGACACCAACACACAAAAUGUACAUUACAAUAGCAUACCUCUACAAAAUAUUUAUUUCCAUUUAAUCUCGAACGAGUAUAAACUUUUGAAUGUCUAAGCGAUCCAACACCAUAGCGCCAACAAAUACAACAUUUACAUUUUUCAAAGAUGAACGUAGAAUACACACACGUAAUGCACCUUUAAAAGUAGGUAAUAUAUACAGCAUGCCAAACAAUUAAUUACACUGCACCAUACACAUUCUAGGAUUCGCAUGUGAUGCCAAGGGCAAACAAAAACAAACAAAAUGGAAAACCCUUUAGAGUUUCAAAAUUAAUAGGAGUACUGGUUAUAUUCAAGUUAAAUCAUUAGACACGUGUGUAUAUUAUGAAACCUUUAACUACUCAAAAAAGGUAAAUGUGGUUAUCAAGGGGACUUAACAAUCCGAAAACAGAGUCCACUACCUUUUAUCUUGAAAGAUGAACUUAACACACAUACAUGCGAUGCACCUUUAAAAUGAGGUAGGUCGGGUUUCAUCGAAGACUCAUGUUUAUCUACUGGAUAUUACACAGGGAGUGAUAAUUAUGAAUACUGUAUAUAUAUUUCUAGAUAACGAAUUUU